UCCACUCGAUCUCCUAUGCUUUUCUUCAUCUUCUUCUUUAAAUCCAUAUCUUUCUACAUCUGAGACGCAAAAGGCAAUGGUUGCACGAGCAUUGAAACCAAAAUCCAUCAGCGACCCACGGAUCCUCCAUGCCCAAACUCUAAAAUCCCCGCACUUUGUAUACUGGAACUCAUUUUCCUAGCUCUUUCGCACCCACCAACAGCGUUCGACCAUAAUCC
Molecule: long non-coding RNA, 218 nt
Filed under: Gossypium barbadense (sea-island cotton)
Lineage: Eukaryota; Viridiplantae; Streptophyta; Magnoliopsida; Malvales; Malvaceae
Description: long non-coding RNA (GBAR_LNC009627)
Source: RNAcentral